This 1682-nucleotide long non-coding RNA is filed under the name Olea europaea subsp. europaea. The record is from RNAcentral. Lineage: Eukaryota; Viridiplantae; Streptophyta; Magnoliopsida; Lamiales; Oleaceae.
GAGAGAGAGAGGAUUACAUAGAGCAAUGAAGAGGGUCUUUCGGGAAAUCAAUCAAAAUGGUCAAUAAAUAGUGGAUGGUACUACAUUGAUCGAGAAGGAAACUAAGAAAGUAGUGGGGACAAAUAUAAUUUUUGUUUGUAAUUUUGGAUGAAAGUUGAAGAAAAGGAGGGUGACAUUGGAUGGAGUGGAGCCAAGAGAGUCAAGUUUCUUUAUGGUGAGAGUAAUUUUAUAUUUAAUUCAUCCUAACCAAAAAAGAUUUGUUUUUUUUUCUCGAUUGUCACAUUGCCACCUUGAUUGAUUUGAACAUAGCAGUGUUAAAUGACAUUAUUCUUAAAUUUUAAACUAACACAUCCAUAUUUUCUAAAGAUUUUCUAAAUUGUCUAUUAAUAUUUAAUAAUUCAAUCUAAUUCUGGUUCAAAAUUUAAAUUUCUUAAAUAUUAUAUGUCAACCUUGCUUUUUCAUCCCAUUACUACCACUAUCGUCCUUUCCAUUUUCCAAACCCUUCAUCAAAUCUCAAAUUACUCUUUUUAAACAAGGGUAAAUUAGUCAUCAUUCUAUCCUCCAUAGUGGAAAUAAACCCCCACAACCACUUUCCCUUUCACCAUUUUCAUGAAACCUAACUCUCCCAGACCCUGCUCUACAUCACUCUACCCACGUCACCUCUCUUUCUUACCUCCAUUUUUCAUACAAAAUUACAAACAAUUUUUUUUUUCCACCUCUUUCUUUGGGUACGUUACAUGCCCUGUCUCUAGUCCGAUCAAUGUAAUCACAUCAACAGAAUGACAAGUUGUGUUCCUUGACCUUUUGACUAAUUUCUAGGGAGUCCCCUCCCUUACGAAUGGCAACGAACUGAGCCGAGCCGGCUCGUAAGUCAAAAAUCAAGGCUCGAUCUUUUUUAAGAGCCUUACCGAGCCAAAACUGGCCGAACCGAGCCAGAUCGUCCCCCCCCCCUCCCUCCCCUUUUUUUUCUCCUCCUCCUUAAAAGACAAUUGAUAGCUGCCUUUAUUUAAAGGCAGCUACCAACUGCCUUUAUUUAAGGCAAUUGGCUGCCUUUGUAAAGGCAGCCUACUGUUACAGAGGCAGCAGCUUGCUGCCUUUUAACAUUUUUUUUUUUUUUUUUGUGACGAGCCGGCCCGCAAGCCACAUGGGCAGGCUCGGGCUCGGCCCGAGAUAGGCUUGGUUUGAUCAAGCCUCGAGCCGAGCCGGCUCGAGCUUUUUCCGGGACAAGCCAUGGGCGGUCCGAGCCCUCGAGCUUUUUUGCCAUCCCUACACUCCCUUUUUUGCCACGUAAAAUACACUCUUCUAUACAGAGGGCUCUAAUUUUGGUUGAGUGGUAAAUGUUGAAAGUUUAUUGUUAGAAUUUUGUGAAAGUUAUCGAAACUGGAGAGUGAAGGGGGUGCUUCAAAUGUGAGAUCAAGGCAUCAAAUAAAUCUGAAUGAAGCUUCAAUUUCAUCACUUGAUGAAGCUGAAGACAAAAUUAAUGGUUCCGAUCUACGGCUCUGUUUACAAAAAAGAUUAUAGAUGUUUUGAGUGCUUGGUAAAAAAAUGGCGGGAGUGAAUUAGUUUUCGACAUCAACGCUUCUCCGUGCGAGGCGAAGAAACAAAACGAGCGAAAUUUGACGGAACUAGCGAGACCCACAAAUGGAUUGUUUAUAUGAAAAUUGAGAACAAGUUAAAUUGAG